AAACGGCCGCGUUAGCGUGAGCGUGCUAAGGUAGCGUAAUAAUUAGCCUUUUAAUUGGAGGCCAGUGAAUGGCAAGACUAGGAACACCUUUACCAUAUGUAUAAAAAAAACUUUUCGUCUAAGUGAAAAGACUUAGAUAAUAAAGGUAGACGAAAAGACCCCGCGGAACUUUACCUUUUCGUAUACAACCGUGUACUCACCCCAAUGUAUAUAAGGUUUGAUUGGGGCAAUCUUGGAACCAGCAAAGCUUCCAAUUUCUUAGCUAAAACUUAUUUAGAAUUUGAUAAGGACCAAAAAGAAGUUACCCCGGGGAUAACAGCGUAAUCCAACUUAAGAGUACAUAUCGAAAGUUGGGUUUGCGACCUCGAUGUUGGCUUAAGGAUAUCCACAUAAGUGCAAC
Molecule: ribosomal RNA, 400 nt
Filed under: Utterbackia imbecillis (paper pondshell)
Lineage: Eukaryota; Metazoa; Mollusca; Bivalvia; Unionida; Unionidae
Description: partial 16S ribosomal RNA
Rfam family: Bacterial large subunit ribosomal RNA
Source: RNAcentral